RNAcentral lists this ribosomal RNA (200 nucleotides) under Bacillus sp. DNRA2. Its description in RNAcentral is "Bacterial large subunit ribosomal RNA". It matches the Rfam family "Bacterial large subunit ribosomal RNA", at positions 1454 to 1650 of the family's 2925-position model. The record is from Rfam by way of RNAcentral. Lineage: Bacteria; Bacillati; Bacillota; Bacilli; Caryophanales; Bacillaceae.
UCGUUUGAGCGAUGGAGGGACGCAGGAGGAUAGGGUAAGCGCACUGCUGGAUAUGUGCGUCUAAGCAGUUAGGCUGUAAAUGAGGCAAAUCCCAUUUACGCGAAGGCUGAGCUGUGAUAGCGAGGGAAAUAUAGUACCGAAGUUCCUGAUUCCACACUGCCAAGAAAAGCUUCUAGCGAGAUAAAAGGUGCCCGUACCGC